RNAcentral lists this ribosomal RNA (460 nucleotides) under uncultured bacterium. RNAcentral describes it as "partial 16S ribosomal RNA". It matches the Rfam family "Bacterial small subunit ribosomal RNA", at positions 338 to 795 of the family's 1533-position model. The record is from RNAcentral.
CCUACGGGUGGCUGCAGUGAGGAAUAUUGGUCAAUGGCCGGAAGUCUGAACCAGCCAUGCCGCGUGAAGGUCAGUGCCCUAUGGGCGUUAAACUUCUUUUGUGCGGGAUCAAUAAUGGUCACGUUUGGCCCGCCGAGAUUACCGUCCUAAUAAGCAUCGUCUAACUCCGUUCCAGCAGCCGCGGUAAUACGGGGGAUGCAAGCGUUAUCCGGAGUUAUUGGGUUUAAAGGGUGCGUAGGCUGUGAGGUAAGUCAGCGGUGAAAUGCCCCCGCUCAAAGGGGUGAAGUGCCGUUGAUACUGCCGGGCUGGAAUGCGGAUGCCGUGGGAGGAAUGUGUGGUGUAGCGGUGAAAUGCAUAGAGAUCACACAGAACACCGAUUGCGAAGGCAUCUGACGAAGCCGCGAUUGACGCUGAUGCACGAAAGCGUGGGUAUCAAACAGGAUUAGAUACCCUUGUAGUC